This 253-nucleotide ribosomal RNA is filed under the name uncultured bacterium. RNAcentral describes it as "partial 16S ribosomal RNA". It matches the Rfam family "Bacterial small subunit ribosomal RNA", at positions 524 to 776 of the family's 1533-position model. The record is from RNAcentral.
UACGUAGGGUGCAAGCGUUGUCCGGAAUUAUUGGGCGUAAAGAGCUCGUAGGCGGUUUGUCGCGUCGAAUGUGAAAACCCGGGGCUCAACCCCGGGCCUGCAUUCGAUACGGGCAGACUAGAGCUCGGUAGGGGAGUCUGGAAUUCCUGGUGUAGCGGUGGAAUGCGCAGAUAUCAGGAGGAACACCGAUGGCGAAGGCAGGUCACUGGGCCGCAACUGACGCUGAGGAGCGAAAGCAUGGGGAGCGAACAGG